RNAcentral lists this long non-coding RNA (309 nucleotides) under Vigna radiata. RNAcentral's name for it is "long non-coding RNA (VRAD_LNC006777)". The record is from RNAcentral. Lineage: Eukaryota; Viridiplantae; Streptophyta; Magnoliopsida; Fabales; Fabaceae.
GGAACUGAAAUGAAACAGAGAAGUGUGAAGAACAAGGGAGAAAUCUAGAACUCAAGACGUUAUCUAUCUCUCAAGCUUUGGCCAGAUGAAUUUCUUUUUUUUCUUUUUUUUUUUUGGUUCUCUUUUUCUGAUUCAUUUCAAGUCUUUUCUUUUACUCUCUUUAUAUAAUUUUUCUUAUUUCCAGACCUGUUCUUUCUUUCUCAACCACACCAGAAUUUUCAGCACAUUUUCUUUUUUUUUCACUUCUGGCCUCACUCUUUUUCAUGCAUUCACCAAGUUCUAGACCUCUUCCUACAUCUCACAAGUCUC